GACGAACGCUGGCGGCGUGCUUAACACAUGCAAGUCGAACGGUAAGGCCCUUCGGGGUACACGAGUGGCGAACGGGCGAGUAACACGUGGGUGAUCUGCCCUGCACUUCGGGAUAAGCCUGGGAAACUGGGUCUAAUACCGGAUAGGACCAUUGCCUGCAUGGGUGGUGGUGGAAAGCUUUUGCGGUGUGGGAUGGGCCCGCGGCCUAUCAGCUUGUUGGUGGGGUGAUGGCCUACCAAGGCGACGACGGGUAGCCGGCCUGAGAGGGUGACCGGCCAAACUGGGACUGAGAUACGGCCCAGACUCCUACGGGAGGCAGCAGUGGGGAAUAUUGCACAAUGGGCGCGAGCCUGAUGCAGCGACGCCGCGUGAGGGAUGACGGCCUUCGGGUUGUAAACCUCUUUCAGCACCGACGAAGCGCAAGUGACGGUAGGUGCAGAAGAAGGACCGGCCAACUACGUGCCAGCCGCCGCCGUAA
This 478-nucleotide ribosomal RNA is filed under the name uncultured bacterium. Its description in RNAcentral is "partial 16S ribosomal RNA". It matches the Rfam family "Bacterial small subunit ribosomal RNA", at positions 28 to 523 of the family's 1533-position model. The record is from RNAcentral.